UAUAUAUAUAUAUAUAUAGGGGAGGGAUCUAUAGAGAAUGCCUAUAAAAUAAAGAAUGGAGAAUAACUCCUUACCGUUAGAUCUUGCAAAACUAGCGGUCAUGAUUGAAUUCGAAUAUCCAUAAAAAAUCAUGUUUAAUUAAUAUAAAUCAUUUUUAUAUUCAAAUAAGGGUAGUUCGGCCAAUUAAACCACACCCAAAAUCUGAAACAUAUCUCACUUCCGAAAAUAAAGCAACCCCUUUCUUCCAUUAUUCCAUAGAUUUUUACAGUUUUCGAAAAAUCACAAUCCGUUGCAGACAAACGAUUUAGAGAGCAAAAGAAUUUUGAAGAAGGUCGCCGGCGAUUUUCCAUCUCAUCCAUGGUCCUAGCAGCACCUAGAAGGGUUUGUGGGAAUUAAGGUUUGUAGCUGUAAUUCUCUGAAUUUUGCGAGAAAACUCAGCAAGGACAUUUAUUGUUGGAUUGCAUACUAUGGAAUAUUCUUCAAGAUGAUUAAGCAUUACAACUCAAGAGAUAAUGGGAUAAGUAGUUUGAAGGCUCGAGCAGCUUGCAAGUUAUGCUACCUACACAUUUUUCAUGUUCAUUUCCAGUUGAUUGUUUGUAUAUUGUUCAUUGAAAAGUAGUUAUUAUUCGAUAUAUAUUGUUAUAUUGUUCGAUUGUUUAGGUAUGACAUUUGAAAAUUUAAUAUUUAAUAAUUUGUCAUUAAAAA
Molecule: long non-coding RNA, 705 nt
Organism: Salvia miltiorrhiza (redroot sage)
Lineage: Eukaryota; Viridiplantae; Streptophyta; Magnoliopsida; Lamiales; Lamiaceae
Exons: 2
Source: RefSeq, a predicted model, not a curated record